Molecule: ribosomal RNA, 1433 nt
Filed under: uncultured organism
Description: SSU rRNA
Rfam family: Bacterial small subunit ribosomal RNA
Source: RNAcentral
GCGGCGUGGAUAAGACAUGCAAGUCGAACGGGAGAAUUGCUAGCUUGCUAAUAAUUCUCUAGUGGCGCACGGGUGAGUAACACGUGAGUAACCUGCCUCUUAGUGGGGGAUAGCCCUGGGAAACCGGGAUUAAUACCGCAUACGAUUGAAAGAUCAAAGCAGCAAUGCGCUAGGAGAUGGGCUCGCGGCCUAUUAGUUAGUUGGUGAGGUAACGGCUCACCAGGGCGAUGACGGGUAGCCGGUCUGAGAGGAUGUCCGGCCACACUGGAACUGAGACACGGUCCAGACACCUACGGGUGGCAGCAGUCGAGAAUCAUUCACAAUGGGGGCAACCCUGAUGGUGCGACGCCGCGUGGGGGAAUGAAGGUCUUCGGAUUGUAAACCCCUGUCAUGUGGGAGCAAAUUAAAAAGAUAGUACCACAAGAGGAAGAGACGGCUAACUCUGUGCCAGCAGCCGCGGUAAUACAGAGGUCUCAAGCGUUGUUCGGAAUCACUGGGCGUAAAGCGUGCGUAGGCUGUUUCGUAAGUCGUGUGUGAAAGGCAGGGGCUCAACCCCUGGAUUGCACAUGAUACUGCGAGACUAGAGUAAUGGAGGGGGAACCGGAAUUCUCGGUGUAGCAGUGAAAUGCGUAGAUAUCGAGAGGAACACUCGUGGCGAAGGCGGGUUCCUGGACAUUAACUGACGCUGAGGCACGAAGGCCAGGGGAGCGAAAGGGAUUAGAUACCCCUGUAGUCCUGGCAGUAAACGGUGCACGCUUGGUGUGCGGGGAAUCGACCCCCUGCGUGCCGGAGCUAACGCGUUAAGCGUGCCGCCUGGGGAGUACGGUCGCAAGAUUAAAACUCAAAGAAAUUGACGGGGACCCGCACAAGCGGUGGAGUAUGUGGCUUAAUUCGAUGCAACGCGAAGAACCUUACCUGGGCUUGACAUGUAAUGAACAACAUGUGAAAGCAUGCGACUCUUCGGAGGCGUUACACAGGUGCUGCAUGGCCGUCGUCAGCUCGUGUCGUGAGAUGUUUGGUUAAGUCCAGCAACGAGCGCAACCCCUGUUGCCAGUUACCAGCACGUCAAGGUGGGGACUCUGGCGAGACUGCCCAGAUCAACUGGGAGGAAGGUGGGGACGACGUCAGGUCAGUAUGGCCCUUAUGCCCAGGGCUGCACACGUACUACAAUGCCCAGUACAGAGGGGGCCGAAGCCGCGAGGCGGAGGAAAUCCUGAAAACUGGGCCCAGUUCGGACUGUAGGCUGCAACCCGCCUACACGAAGCCGGAAUCGCUAGUAAUGGCGCAUCAGCUACGGCGCCGUGAAUACGUUCCCGGGUCUUGUACACACCGCCCGUCACAUCAUGGAAGCCGGUCGCACCCGAAGUAUCUGAAGCCAACCGCAAGGAGGCAGGGUCCUAAGGUGAGACUGGUAACUGGGAUGAAGUCAUAAC